UCACAUAGUUUGAAAAUGAUAUUUCAUUCCAAGCUGCAUACUGCAAGAAGGGAAAAAAACAAUGCAACUAAAUUUACAGCAGUGAAGUUGAUUUACAUUUACCAGAGGUUCUCAACCAGAGCAGAAUUUCAUAGUUUUGCUACCAUUAUUCAAGAAAACGGUGGAGAUUUUAUGAAGCAUGAAUUUCUCUUGAUAAAGGAUAAUAGGUUAAGUAUAAUUCGCUAGGUAUAAGUUCCUUCUUCAAAAAUAAUCCAUUUUUUGUUUCUAAUCAUGCAACUGAUAAUAACUCAACUGUCUAAGAGUUACCAAAUAUAAUUCAAAUUACCUGUAUUCAAAAAAUUUUAACACAGGUCAC
Molecule: long non-coding RNA, 355 nt
Organism: Stegodyphus dumicola
Lineage: Eukaryota; Metazoa; Arthropoda; Arachnida; Araneae; Eresidae
Source: RefSeq, a predicted model, not a curated record